RNAcentral lists this ribosomal RNA (253 nucleotides) under uncultured bacterium. RNAcentral describes it as "partial 16S ribosomal RNA". It matches the Rfam family "Bacterial small subunit ribosomal RNA", at positions 524 to 776 of the family's 1533-position model. The record is from RNAcentral.
UACGAAGGGGGCUAGCGUUGUUCGGAAUUACUGGGCGUAAAGCGCACGUAGGCGGACAUUUAAGUCAGGGGUGAAAUCCCAGAGCUCAACUCUGGAACUGCCUUUGAUACUGGGUGUCUUGAGUAUGGAAGAGGUGAGUGGAAUUCCUAGUGUAGAGGUGAAAUUCGUAGAUAUUAGGAAGAACACCAGUGGCGAAGGCGGCUCACUGGUCCGGUACUGACGCUGAGGUGCGAAAGCGUGGGGAGCAAACAGG